This is a non-coding RNA of Gossypium arboreum, 45 nucleotides long. The record is from Rfam. NCBI's taxonomy places the organism in Eukaryota, Viridiplantae, Streptophyta, Magnoliopsida, Malvales, Malvaceae.
UUAACGGCGCUUUUAAGUGCCACUAAAACUAUUUACGAUGUUUUU